GGUAAAAUGGCUGAGUAAGGCGGUAAAUUGUAAAUUUACUUACGGAAUUUUCCUUUUACUA
RNAcentral lists this transfer RNA (61 nucleotides) under Hyalomma anatolicum. RNAcentral describes it as "tRNA-Tyr". It matches the Rfam family "tRNA". Rfam says of the family: Transfer RNA (tRNA) molecules are approximately 80 nucleotides in length. Their secondary structure includes four short double-helical elements and three loops (D, anti-codon, and T loops). RNAcentral also lists the same sequence under 1 other name. The record is from RNAcentral. Lineage: Eukaryota; Metazoa; Arthropoda; Arachnida; Ixodida; Ixodidae.